CCCUUGGCAACUUGUUGAUUCGUUAAUUGUUUUUACUUUUGUUAAUUAACUGAUUGUUAAGUUUUAAUUUCUCUUAUUUUGUUUCAUUCUGUUCUAACCUUAAUCAUUAAUUAACCACCUCUUCAUUUAGUAGAUUAGAUUUUACCUUGUGAAAGAAACUAAUCUCUUUAUUUUCCUUUGUUUUAUUUACCUAAAUACAAUAAUUGUGAAUCUGUUAUCCUGCUGAUUAAUAAGUUAAUCUGUUUUUCAUAUUAAUUAUUUGUCAAUUUCAAUAUCUUAUUUAAGGUGUGGCUGAUUGAAGAUAUUGGAUCUGGAUUAGCGCUUGUGGAUUAAAACAAAAGCUACAAUGUUAACAAGGCGAACAAUUUUUUCCAUCUCUCUCUCUCUCUCUCACUUACUCACUGUUUCUCUUAUACAAAUUGGAAAUCUAAUUAAGCCUUACAGCCAUUUUACUACCAAUUAAAUUACCAAUCAAGUGAAUUAUCUGUUUUUUCCUACCUGCAAGCGGUAACUCUCAGUUCCCCUAAACCAAACAUCACCUACAAACCAUUUUAAUGCUAUUAUAUUUUUUUCCCACUCGAUACAAUUUAACACUAAACCCAUAAUAAUAAUACUAUCAAACUAAUCAAUCGUA
Long non-coding RNA from Panonychus citri (citrus red mite), 634 nucleotides. RefSeq lists it as uncharacterized. The transcript is spliced from 2 exons. The record is from RefSeq and is a predicted model, not a curated record. Lineage: Eukaryota; Metazoa; Arthropoda; Arachnida; Trombidiformes; Tetranychidae.